UCUUUACCCUAUUCUACUGAAACAACUCUUCCGCCGAAAAAAUGUCUCAAACAAGAGAUCCUCGUCCACAACCUCGGAGCCUCCGACAAAGGAAGAACCAUCUCCCACACGACGUCGUACUGAAUAUCCUGACAAGGCUUCCAGUCAAAUCAGUCCUAAGAUUCAGGUGCGUUUGCAAACCUUGGGGCUCCUCAAUCGCUAGUCCUAAUUUCAUCUCCACCCACCUUAAUAACACCAACAACGAUGAUGAUCAAGAUCAAACUUUUCUCAUACAGACGCGUAUUCAAUAUAAUACGCGUAAGAUUCCAAUAAUCUCUAAGGUUCUUUGUUGUGACCGCACGUUUGAUUGGCUUUUUGAGUAUCCAACUCCCUCUGUUUUUGAUUUAAACAUGUCCCGAAUGGUCGGUUCGUGCAAUGGUUUAGUGUGUCUAGUUCAACAUGGAAAUCGUUCUAUAUAUUUGUGGAACCCCAGUAUUAGAAAAUUUAAGAGAUUGCCUGAUUCGUGUCUAAGCCAACAUUUUUCCAUUGGCCAAGAUGAUUGGGUUUCUACCGGAUUUGCUUGUCAGUCCAAGACAAAUGACUACAAGGUUGUAAAGCUUUGGUGUACUCCAGUUGUGGCCGAGGUUUACACAUUAAGCUCGGACUCGUGGAGAAGGGCUGAAAUCUCAUUGAAAUCCAAUGUUGUGGUCUCCUAUAUCGACUUUUUUACAGAUCCCCAUUUUGUUAGUGGGGCUUUGCAUUGGUUGGCUUAUCAUACUGAAGGUGAAAGGGAAGGGGAAUUCCUAGAUCGAAUGAUGAUUUUGUCAUUUGAUGUCGAUAAUGAGGAAUUUGGGGAGAUGGCACUACCUGAUGGAGAUAAAUUGCACCAGCGAAGUCUAUUUGUGUUCAAGGAAAAUCUGGCUUUCAUAACAUAUGGAUACCCCGAAAAUGAUGACGACAAAAUGCCAGAUUCGCAAUGCUUCAUUUGGGUAAUGAGGGAGUACGGUGUACAUGAAUCAUGGAAUAAACUUUUUUCUAUCCGGUUUGAAAAUGUUGAUAUAAGUUUCUAUGGUUGCACUGAACAUGGUGAACUUCUACUUGACAAGAAAGUCAAGGAAGAAUCCGAAGAUGGUGAAAUAAAAAUAUAUUAUUGCAAUGAGUCUACGAUUCUUUCAAAUGACACUGCGAUUGUUUCACUAGACCCUAAAACUUUACAUGAGAAGGACCUUAUUAUCCUACGAUAUGUUACAAAUAUAGUUACUACGUUCAAGGAAAGCCUUGUGUUUCUUGAUGGAGCAACCGAGCUAUCUGGAUAAGAACUGAAAUCAUUAGUGAUAAUCAUUGCAUUUUGUUAGGUAAGUGUGAUAUGAUUUAGACCAUUCUCAUGUUGUUUACUUUGGUAUCAUUUUGUUUUGCGGUAGGCAUAAAUUUACUGAUAUGAUGUAGGUGAACUUAAUUCAGAUGUCUAUCAACCCUUCAUGCUUGUGGCGAUUUCGUGAAAGAACAUAUAACAUUUUAAUUCUGACAUUUUUUGUGCCUCUCUGAUUGUGUUGCAAACUAUUAGAUUAGAGAUCUUACUUUAUCCAAAAAAUAAAAUAAAAAUGGAGCAAAGAAGAGGGAAGAAAAGAAGCCCUAUGAUGAGAAUGUUGAAACUGGGCUGUGGAAGUUCUUAUGUGGUGAGCAUAGGCCCAGCGAAGAUACAACUUGUUUUUCCAACAUGGCUAGAUCAUCCAAUGGUGCCACGAUUGAGUAAUCUCAGGGUGACUUGCCUCCUUUACAAUCAGUCAGGGUGACAUGCCUCCUUUACACGAUGAAUUUCCAUCCUCAGUUUUGGUGGCAGCACUUAAAGUUAAUGGGCUUUCAGAUUCUGUUCUUACAUGUUACAGUUGACUUUUGAUUUCUGUCAUACCAAUAUCUUGGAUCACAACUUCAAGAA
RNA transcript from Quercus lobata, 1915 nucleotides. It is a transcript of the gene named F-box/kelch-repeat protein At3g06240-like, with no coding region annotated. Lineage: Eukaryota; Viridiplantae; Streptophyta; Magnoliopsida; Fagales; Fagaceae. The transcript is spliced from 2 exons. The record is from RefSeq and is a predicted model, not a curated record.